RNAcentral lists this ribosomal RNA (198 nucleotides) under uncultured bacterium. RNAcentral's name for it is "partial 16S ribosomal RNA". It matches the Rfam family "Bacterial small subunit ribosomal RNA", at positions 335 to 526 of the family's 1533-position model. The record is from RNAcentral.
ACUCCUACGGGAGGCAGCAGUGGGGAAUAUUGGACAAUGGGGGCAACCCUGAUCCAGCGACGCCGCGUGUGUGAAGAAGGCCUGCGGGUUGUAAAGCACUUUUAGUGGGGAGGAAAACACUCGACCUAACACGUCGGGAAUUGACUUAACCCAAAGAAAAAGCACCGGCUAACUCUGUGCCAGCAGCCGCGGUAAUAC